CGGACCCGCGCUCUCUGCAACUCGGGCCGCGCUCUCGGGUGUGUGCGGCACGCGGAUCCCAACCAGCCGGGAGUGCUGAAUUAAAAUGUGAACAUUUGUGUUGUUGGCCCAGGACCGUCUCUCUCAUCUUACCUGACUACUCCACCCGGAACCAGCCUACUCCUGGGCCUCCUCCUGACCUCCUAGCGGCUGCCACCUCCAGAAGUCCUUCCACCCACCCACCCAGCCCACUCUUUCUCCAGCUUGUCUCAACAUCUUGUCUCCUGAGCACCUGUCACCUUGUUCCUGACCCCUCUACUUACCUAGGAGAGCC
Molecule: long non-coding RNA, 313 nt
Filed under: Heterocephalus glaber (naked mole-rat)
Lineage: Eukaryota; Metazoa; Chordata; Mammalia; Rodentia; Bathyergidae
Description: lncRNA (ENSHGLG00100051783.1)
Source: RNAcentral